UACGUAGGGUGCGAGCGUUAAUCGGAAUUACUGGGCGUAAAGCGUGCGCAGGCGGUUUGCUAAGACAGUUGUGAAAUCCCCGGGCUCAACCUGGGAACUGCAAUUGUGACUGGUAGACUAGAGUUUGGCAGAGGGGGGUGGAAUUCCUGGUGUAGCAGUGAAAUGCGUAGAUAUCAGGAGGAACACCGAUGGCGAAGGCAGCCCCCUGGGCCAUGACUGACGCUCAUGUACGAAAGCGUGGGGAGCAAACAGG
RNAcentral lists this ribosomal RNA (253 nucleotides) under uncultured bacterium. RNAcentral describes it as "partial 16S ribosomal RNA". It matches the Rfam family "Bacterial small subunit ribosomal RNA", at positions 524 to 776 of the family's 1533-position model. The record is from RNAcentral.